UCUCCACUCCAUGCUGUGCAGUGUGACUCUGCUCCCAGGCUGACACAGCUGACACAAAGAACCUGUGAGUUUCCUUCCCUGCUAACCAAUUUGUGUGGAGAACGAUUUACUUUCAAACCCUGCAGGCACAUUGCUGAUGCCAACACUUUAUGAAAAUUGGUCUAAUUAUUCUGGCUGGUAAUUGUACUUGAGGAUAGACGAGCUUGCUUUGUUUAAUUUUGAAAAGCUACAUACAAACCAGACAUCUUAAAGACAGACUUAGGUUCAAAUGUUUCUGAGUUCCUACUCUCCUUGGGUUGAAUUGCAGUAAAAAAGGACAAAGAGAAGGAAGGAAUGAAAAAUUAGGGCAAAACACAGAACAGGCAGGGUGAAAAUACCAAGAGGGUAUGGUGAAAACUGGAAAAGAGAUGGAGAGAGGGAGUAGAUUUUAGUAAACACAGAAUGAUAAAACGGGGGAGGGAUUUUCCAUCAAUACUGAGUGGAUGAAAACCAGACCUAAGCAGUACUGUUGUUGCUACUACCACCAAUAUGCCUCCUUGCCAUGAGGCAGAUGUCUCCUCUGUUGAUACAUAGUUAAGACAAACAUUGUAGUCCUAAGCAAGAAUUAAUAUCUUCAAGAACAUUGACAACUUGCAGCCUCUGAGCCCACACUUGAUAUAGUCAAGAAACUUCCCUUAUGACUGAAGAAACACCGCCUUGCAACUUCAAUGGAUUAGACAGCUCCUCAGCAACAUUCCUUUGAAAACCAUGGGAGUAAACUGGUUAGUUCCUGCAGGCAUUAAAUGUUUAACUUCAGAAGUUGCUGUUGAAUAUCCUCUUGGAUUAGUGCUGGAAAUGGAAGGAUUUCAUUGUCACUUGAAGAAGCAAAUACAUUGUACAGCUGCUUUACAAAUGUAGAAUGCAGAAUUCCACAUGGACUGAAACUUGAGUGUCUCAGUCAACCCAUCCUGUGAGUCUGCCAUCAACUCACAGCCAUGAUAAACACCAGACCAGAAAUCUAAGAAAAUCCUGAUGUUCUUAACUGACUACCUUCAUCCAAGCGUUAAGGUUUGCCAGGAGUUUGCAGAUUGAUAUUGAGUUCAGCGUUUUUUCACUGCUGUCUGUGUUUUUCUUCUUCUUAACAUCAUGGCCAUUGAGAAGUGCUUUAAAAUACAGCAGUAAUUAGAAAGGUAGAGUUACCAUUAAAGGGAGUAUUUGUUUACUGAUAGGAGUUUAGUUCUGUAAGUGUCCUUCUUUUCCACUGUCUUCAAAACUAUAUACAUCAUUUCCUCUGUUCAGUGAAGUUCAUUGGACAACAGUUCCUUGCAAAGUUAUUCUUUCUCUAAUCUAAUUACUUUUCCCUGUUUUUCUGUUUUGUCUUUGUACUUUAUGUAGUGCCACACAGUGUCCCAGAUGGUCAGUCUGGGAAGCAGACAGACUUUUUCAAAAAGACAAUGUUGAUUCCCCUUAGACCCAGAAUGAUAUCCUCCUUCCACUUCCCCCAUCCCCACUCAUUCACAGAUCUUAAUCCUCAAUAAAGACAGUGUUUAGAUAUGUGAAGAAAAGUGGAUGACAACUUAAAACCAACAAAGCUGACACAGGGAACUAUGGCUGGAAUUGGCAAGAUAUUGUUAAGCAGUCUGGUAUCAUUGUUUGCAGCAAGGAUAAAACCAGCUGGCCAUGCUAUGGUUGACUGAGAUCUAGACAAGGAAGGAGAAUCACAUAUGAAUAGGAAGUGAUAUGAGAGGGGAUAAAAAGAAGAAAGAUGAUGUUCUCAAGGCAAGGUCUGAAAAGAGAAAAAUGGCAAAAACCUUCCGAGAUAUUUAAAUCCAAGACUGUUAGACUUUCUCACCUUGCACAAGAUACACAGAUAUGAGAAGAAAGUUUUGAUAUAAACUUACCACAGAGGAAAUGCAGGUACUCUAGACCAUGAAGUUCCAACUUGCCUGACAGUAGAUACCACUGCCUUACAGAUGUUUUUUCUAAAACCAGAUAUGUAACAGUAGGAAGCUCACCUGCAUUAUUUUGUCUCUCAUCCUGACUUGAUAACUUUAGUACUACAUAAACAAAUUAGUAUCUAUUUAAUUUACAGUCCUAAAACUGAGAAAAAUGGAAGGGAGAAAAAAGAUCAAAAACGGGUAUUUUACAACAUUUUCAGAACUGUAGUAUUAGUUAUGAAAGUAUAGUUAAUUUUCCAUAAUUUCUACUGACUUCUUCCCACCACUGGUCAAAAGGAACAUGGUGUGUACUCUGAAAUUCUUUGAUCCCUUAUAGAAAAAAUUACUAAAUGACUACACCUGAGGGCUGCAAUCACUUGUAAUGAUACUACAGAAUUAUAGACAACACUAUUUUUUCUAGUACCAUAUUGAAAAGUUUCAUCUCAUUUCACACAGGAGCUUUUCACUGUAUAUAUGGUGCCAAAUAGUAAUUUCUUCUCAUUACCUAAUUGUAAGUAUUUCUUUUCUCUGCUGCAAGGAGUGUGUGGGGGGAAAUCAUAAUUUGGGCAGGUAAAGGGAGGUGACAGGUGUUUAACAGAAAUGGAGUGUUUUACAGCACCCUUUCCCACAUUAAAACAGGUAAUGAGUGUUUAGAAAAAAAUGGAAUGCACCAAAAUUGUUGGAUGCCAAAAGUAGUAGUAAUUAUGAAAUAGUGGUAAAACCAUUGGUGUUACUUAACUUUUUAGGUGAUUUGAGUUAUAUACAUAUAUAUGUAUCUUCUAAGGAUAUAAAAUUAGAGUAUAGUACCUAGGAAUCUAUCUAAGGCUUGGUAAACACUUAACAUCGCUUAACAUUUGGUUGCUGAGAAAUGUCCUUUUUCAAUCACGUUUUGUUCAAAAAUUAGGUGUAUACAGUCAUGCUUUCUUCCCCUUAUGAGUCCAUUGGCCCAUGUUAUUGAGGGAUAAGAAUUUUCAGGAAUAUGAAGUAUUUGUUAAUAUCAUGAAGAUCAGCAGCUGGAAAAAUUAGAAAGAAAUUAAUUAAUGCCUUUACUGAGGGCAAAGCUGAAGAGCGUUACACUGGCCAAGCCUGUCAGUACACUUUAACUCAGCAUUCAACAUGUAGUACAAGAGCAAAGGAACUGGCUGUAAUGGGAGAAACAAGACCAGUGAAGUCUAAGGAAGCCUGCAAAGGAGAUAAACUUAGUGUAAGAAGCAUGGAACAAGGAGAUAGGGCUGAAAUCCAUUGAAAAUUGUGGUUUAAUAGUUCCAACUUGCUUUGACUACCACAACUGCACCCAGACAAUCCCUACUGAAAAUUAUAAAGUUAUACCAGAAAAAAUGAUGAUGUACAGUGCAACAAUUAAACCUUUUCUUUUAUCGGAUACAUUGCAUCAUUCUAGGCUCUCUUGUAUUGCUAAUAUGGUGAUAGUACAUGGAGAGAGACAGACAAAUAGUUCUGCUCUGCAUGCAGAAAAACUCUCAUGAAUUUCCCUCAGUCAAUGGGAUAUAUAUUGCACUAAUAUAUAUCACAAAAGAUUUCCAUACCUCAGUGUGAUUUAAUAUGGUCCUUAACAAAGGCAUUCGGCAAGUUUGCUGGUCUGACAAAUUUCCUUGAACUCCAAAUAC
Anas platyrhynchos (mallard) is the source of this 3541-nucleotide long non-coding RNA. RefSeq lists it as uncharacterized. The record is from RefSeq and is a predicted model, not a curated record. Lineage: Eukaryota; Metazoa; Chordata; Aves; Anseriformes; Anatidae.